AACGCAACUUGCACUCUAGGUUCUCCUAGAGUAUGCCUAUUUGAGUAUCGGUACACCCCACUCACAACCACCCCCUCGUGGUGUGGUUUGGAUCUGAUGAGUCAUGCGCGCGAGCGUGUAUCCACACACACACACGCGCUGACUUGAAGUGUACACUGAAUCGGGCCUAUGUAUACUGUACAUGCGGCGCUGACGUGAUAGUCUCACAUGUUUGGGAACUCGUCAGGCACACAUGCCGCGUGUCGGUCAUAGUGACCCAGUCACACACACACAUCACAUACCCCAAUCUCGAUCUCAAAUUAGGUAGGACUACCCGCUGAAUUUAA
Molecule: unclassified non-coding RNA, 326 nt
Filed under: uncultured fungus
Lineage: Eukaryota; Fungi
Description: sequence contains ITS2
Source: RNAcentral